Molecule: ribosomal RNA, 860 nt
Filed under: uncultured Neocallimastigales
Lineage: Eukaryota; Fungi; Neocallimastigomycota; Neocallimastigomycetes; Neocallimastigales
Description: partial large subunit ribosomal RNA
Rfam family: Eukaryotic large subunit ribosomal RNA
Source: RNAcentral
CUAUACAUGACUCUGCGCAUAUCAAUAAGCGGAGGAAAAGAAACUAACAAGGAUUCCCCUAGUAACGGCGAGUGAAGCGGGAAGAGCUCAAAUUUGAAAUCUUAAAGGGUUUCCCUUUACGAAUUGUAGUUUAAAGAAGCGUCUUCUGUUGGAGUUUUGGUAAAAGUUCUUUGGAAUAGGACAUCAUAGAGGGUGAGAAUCCCGUAUUUGACCAUUAUUUCCAACUUUGUGAUACACUUUCAAAGAGUCGGAUUGCUUGGGAAUGCAGUCCAAAAUGGGUGGUAAAUUUCAUCUAAAGCUAAAUAUUGGCGAGAGACCGAUAGCGAACAAGUACCGUGAGGGAAAGAUGAAGAGAACUUUGAAAAGAGAGUUAAACAGUACGUGAAAUUGUCAAAAGGGAAGCGUUUGACACCAGUGUUGUUUUUCCGAAAAUCAAUUACGAAUGUUUUGUUUUUAAGGAGUUAUGACUUCAUCGGCUUGCUCCUUUCUUUAUGAAACUUUCUUAAUGCACUUUUCGGUUAACAAGUCAACAUCAAUUUCUUUUGUUGUAAAAGGGUAUGAGGAAGGUGGCUUUCUUUUCGGAGAAAGUGUUUAUAGCCUUGUGCCUCUGCAAUCGGAGAGAUUGAGGUCUGCAGCGUAGAUCCUUCGGGGUUAGAUACGUUUGUGCUAAGUUAUAGCUUUUCAUAGACAACUUGUUGACUAUGUUUAGUCUUGUAGCUUACUCGCUUACGCUAUUUUACCUACGCUUAGGAUGUUGAAGAUAUGCGCGACACGACUCUAUACAUGACUCUGCUGCAUAUCAAUAAGCGGAGGAAAAGUCAACGUACCUACGCUUAGGAUGUUGAAGAUAUGCGCGACAC